Molecule: ribosomal RNA, 301 nt
Filed under: uncultured bacterium
Lineage: Bacteria
Description: partial 16S ribosomal RNA
Rfam family: Bacterial small subunit ribosomal RNA
Source: RNAcentral
CAGUAGCCGCGGUAAUACGAAGGGGGCUAGCGUUGUUCGGAAUUACUGGGCGUAAAGCGCACGUAGGCGGACAUUUAAGUCAGGGGUGAAAUCCCGGGGCUCAACCCCGGAACUGCCUUUGAUACUGGGUGUCUAGAGUAUGGAAGAGGUGAGUGUAAUUCCGAGUGUAGAGGUGAAAUUCGUAGAUAUUCGGAGGAACACCAGUGGCGAAGGCGGCUCACUGGUCCAUUACUGACGCUGAGGUGCGAAAUCGUGGGGAGCAAACAGGAUUAGAUACCCCCGUAGUCCCUGUCUCUUAUAC